Molecule: small RNA, 434 nt
Filed under: Pan troglodytes (chimpanzee)
Lineage: Eukaryota; Metazoa; Chordata; Mammalia; Primates; Hominidae
Description: processed transcript
Source: RNAcentral
GAAAUUCCAACAGCAUCGCACUGUGCGGCCUCUUCUGAGGUUCCUCUCUCAUUGGGCAGGGAUGUGUUCUUCCUCGGUCUCAUCAUUGCAUCUCUAGCACUAGUGGGAGAUGUCAAUAAGUGUUUAAUGAAUGAAUGCACGAACAUGCCACACCAGUGACCUCAGCUUAUGGUGAAAGACACGAGGAGUUAAUUAACUUAGGAAGCCCAGACUCCCACACUAUUAGUGAGGGACAAAAAUCUUCAGUAACUUCCAAAAUAACAAGGAAAGGCAAAGAAAAGUCUUCUGAGAAAGAAAAGACAGCCAAAGAAAAACAAGCACCUCGCUUUGAGCCUCAGAUAUCCACUGUUCACCCUCAACAAGAAGACCCAAAUAAACCCUACUGGAUUUUGAGGCUUCUCAGGCUCGUUUGCAUUACCUUAGCGGGUUCAUUA